UAAAAAAAAAAAAAAAGUUCUACUAUGGCUUCGGGGACUGUAGGGGGAGUCAAGUCUGCAACAGCGAGUAGUAACUUCUCUCCCUUCUCAGUAUUUUGAUGAUGACUUUGGCUUGCCAAAUAUCA
This 125-nucleotide small nucleolar RNA is filed under the name Dipodomys ordii (Ord's kangaroo rat). Its description in RNAcentral is "Small nucleolar RNA SNORA56 (ENSDORG00000022760.2)". The record is from RNAcentral. Lineage: Eukaryota; Metazoa; Chordata; Mammalia; Rodentia; Heteromyidae.